Molecule: ribosomal RNA, 544 nt
Filed under: uncultured bacterium
Lineage: Bacteria
Description: bacterial SSU rRNA
Rfam family: Bacterial small subunit ribosomal RNA
Source: RNAcentral
CGCUGGCGGCAGGCUUAACACAUGCAAGUCGAACGGUCCUUCGGGGCAGUGGCAGACGGGUGAGUAACGCGUGGGAAUCUACCUUUCUCUACGGAACAACAGUUGGAAACGACUGCUAAUACCGUAUACGCCCUUUGGGGGAAAGAUUUAUCGGAGAAGGAUGAGCCCGCGUUAGAUUAGCUAGUUGGUGGGGUAAUGGCCUACCAAGGCGACGAUCUAUAGCUGGUCUGAGAGGAUGAUCAGCCACAUUGGGACUGAGACACGGCCCAAACUCCUACGGGAGGCAGCAGUGGGGAAUAUUGGACAAUGGGCGCAAGCCUGAUCCAGCCAUGCCGCGUGAGUGAUGAAGGCCCUAGGGUUGUAAAGCUCUUUCAACGGUGAAGAUAAUGACGGUAACCGUAGAAGAAGCCCCGGCUAACUUCGUGCCAGCAGCCGCGGUAAUACGAAGGGGGCUAGCGUUGUUCGGAAUUACUGGGCGUAAAGCGCACGUAGGCGGAUUGGUCAGUUAGGGGUGAAAUCCCAGAGCUCAACUCUGGAACUGCCU